AGAGUUUGAUCCUGGCUCAGAACGUACGCUGGCGGCACGCCUAACACAUGCAAGUCGAACGAAGUAGCAAUACUUAGUGGCAGACGGGUGAGUAACAUGUAGGUAUCUACCCUUUGGCCUGGAAUAACACGAGGAAACUUGUGCUAAUACUGGAUAAGUCUUUACGGAGAAAGCUUUAUGCACCAUUGGAUGAGCCUGCACUUGAUUAGUUUGUUGGUGGGGUAAUGGCCUACCAAGACUUUGAUCAAUAGCUGAUUUGAGAGGAUGAUCAGCCACAUUGGGACUGAGACACGGCCCAAACUCCUACGGGAGGCAGCAGUGGGGAAUCUUGCACAAUGGAGGAAACUCUGAUGCAGCGAUGCCGCGUGAGUGAAGAAGGCCCUUGGGCUGUAAAGCUCUUUCGUCGGGGAAGAAAAUGACUGUACCCGAAUAAGAAGGUCCGGCUAACUUCGUGCCAGCAGCCGCGGUAAUACGAAGGGACCUAGCGUAGUUCGGAAUUACUGGGCUUAAAGAGUUCGUAGGUGGUUGAAAAAGUUGGUGGUGAAAUCCCAGAGCUUAACUCUGGAACUGCCAUCAAAACUUUUCAGCUAGAGUAUGAUAGAGGAAAGCAGAAUUUCUAGUGUAGAGGUGAAAUUCGUAGAUAUUAGAAAGAAUACCAAUUGCGAAGGCAGCUUUCUGGAUCAUUACUGACGCUGAGGAACGAAAGCAUGGGUAGCGAAGAGGAUUAGAUACCCUCGUAGUCCAUGCCGUAAACGAUGUGUGUUAGACGUUGGAAAUUUAUUUUUAGUGUCGCAGCGAAAGCAAUAAACACACCGCCUGGGGAGUACGACCGCAAGGUUAAAACUCAAAUGAAUUGACGGGGACCCGCACAAGUAGUGGAGCAUGUGGUUUAAUUCGAAGAUACGCGCAGAACCUUACCAACACUUGACAUGUUCGUCGCGACUCUAAGAGAUUAGAGUUUUCGGUUCGGCCGGACGAAACACAGGUGCUGCAUGGCUGUCGUCAGCUCGUGUCGUGAGAUGUUGGGUUAAGUCCCGCAACGAGCGCAACCCUCACUUUUAGUUGCCAUCAUUUAGUUGGGCACUCUGAAAGAACUGUCAGUGAUAAGCUGGAGGAAGGUGGGGAUGACGUCAAGUCCUCAUGGCCCUUACGUGUUGGGCUACACACGUGCUACAAUGGUAUCUACAACAGGAAGCAAAACUGCGAGGUUAAGCAAAUCCUUAAAAGAUACCUCAGUUCGGAUUGCACUCUGCAACUCGAGUGCAUGAAGCUGGAAUUACUAGUAAUCGUGGAUCAGCGUGCCACGGUGAAUGCGUUCCCGGGUCUUGUACACACCGCCCGUCACACCAUGGGAGUUGGUUCUACCUUAAGGCAAGGUUUAAAACCCUUGACCACGGUAUAGUCAGCGACUGGGGUGAAGUCGUAACAAGGUAACC
Molecule: ribosomal RNA, 1436 nt
Filed under: uncultured bacterium
Lineage: Bacteria
Description: bacterial SSU rRNA
Rfam family: Bacterial small subunit ribosomal RNA
Source: RNAcentral